Molecule: long non-coding RNA, 628 nt
Organism: Arachis ipaensis
Lineage: Eukaryota; Viridiplantae; Streptophyta; Magnoliopsida; Fabales; Fabaceae
Source: RefSeq, a predicted model, not a curated record
CCAUGCAUUCAUGCUAUUGCUGCAAUCAGAAAGAGGCAUGACCAACCACAGGAUUAUAUGCAUCUUUGGCUGAGUAUGAAAUCCAUUCAUAAGACAUAUGCACAUUGCAUAAAACCAGUUCCUAGUGAGAAAUUCUGGACUGAAGGAGACUAGUUCAGGCCUACUCCACCACCCAUCAAGCGACCUAUUGGGAGGCCAAAGGUGCACUGUCGCAACAAGGACACUGCUGAGGCUCAUAUUUAGGGGGACAAGCUGAAGAGAAGCUUUCAAGUUACAUAUAGCAAGUGCAACGAGAAAGGACAUAACUACAAGACUUGUAAAGGAGCACCAAGCAACCCAAACUGAAAACCAAAAAGGAAAAAAGCUAAGAAGACUAUUGAUAAUACAUAAGCUUUGGUGUUGCUUUCCCUUUCACAAUCAGCCCCUCAACUAGAGGCCCCCAACAAGUGUAAAUCCACCAUCAAAUCCACCACCAAAUCCACUCCCAAAUACAGCACAAACUCAAAGCACCAAUACUAGUGGGGGACCAUCAAAGGAGACCUUGAAAGCAGCUAACAGUGGGACCACAAGAAUUUUCAAAUUCAUCCUAACUCCUGGAUCCAACAAUCAGAAGAACUGAACACAACUG